GAGGAAAAGAAACUAACAAGGAUUCCCCUAGUAACGGCGAGUGAAGUGGGAAAAGCUCAACUUUGUAAUCUGGCAGCUUUGCUGUCCGAGUUGUAGUCUCGAGAAGUGUUUUCCGCGCUGGAUCGUGUAUGAGUCUGUUGGAAUACAGCGUCAUAGAGGGUGAGAACCCCGUUCGUGACACGACUACCAGUGCUUUGUGAUACAUUUUCGAUGAGUCGAGUUGUUUGGGAAUGCAGCUCAAAUUGGGUGGUAAAUUCCAUCUAAAGCUAAAUAUUGGCGAGAGACCGAUAGCAAACAAGUACCGUGAGGGAAAGAUGAAAAGCACUUUGGAAAGAGAGUUAACAGUACGUGAAAUUGUUGAAAGGGAAACGUUUGAAGUCAGACGUGCGUUGUGCGAUUCAGCUCCGGUUCGCCGGAGUGUAUUUCGUACUAUUGCAGGCCAGCAUCGGUUUGGCGAGUCGGAUAAAGGUUAGAGAAAGGUAGCGGCUCCGGCCGUGUUAUAGUCUUUAACUGAAUACGAAUUGCUAGACCGAGGGACGCAGCGCGCCGCAAGGCAAAGCUCUCGGGCUUUUCGCGCUUAGGAUGCUGGUGAAAUGGCUUUAAA
RNAcentral lists this ribosomal RNA (604 nucleotides) under Symmetrospora symmetrica. Its description in RNAcentral is "partial large subunit ribosomal RNA". It matches the Rfam family "Eukaryotic large subunit ribosomal RNA", at positions 53 to 644 of the family's 3401-position model. Lineage: Eukaryota; Fungi; Basidiomycota; Cystobasidiomycetes; Symmetrosporaceae. The record is from RNAcentral.